Molecule: ribosomal RNA, 467 nt
Filed under: uncultured bacterium
Lineage: Bacteria
Description: partial 16S ribosomal RNA
Rfam family: Bacterial small subunit ribosomal RNA
Source: RNAcentral
ACGAACGCUGGCGGCGUGCUUAACCCAUGCAAGUCGAACGGAAAGGCCCUGCUUUUGUGGGGUGCUCGAGUGGCGAACGGGUGAGUAACACGUGAGUAACCUGCCCUUGACUUUGGGAUAACUUCAGGAAACUGGGGCUAAUACCGGAUAGGAGCUCCUGCUGCAUGGUGGGGGUUGGAAAGUUUCGGCGGUUGGGGAUGGACUCGCGGCUUAUCCGCUUGUUGGUGGGGUAGUGGCUUACCAAGGCUUUGACGGGUAGCCGGCCUGAGAGGGUGACCGGCCACAUUGGGACUGAGAUACGGCCCAGACUCCUACGGGAGGCAGCAGUGGGGAAUAUUGCACAAUGGGCGGAAGCCUGAUGCAGCAACGCCGCGUGCGGGAUGACGGCCUUCGGGUUGUAAACCGCUUUCGCCUGUGACGAAGCGUGAGUGACGGUAAUGGGUAAAGAAGCACCGGCUAACUACGUG